GUUCAGCGAUCAAGCGUCACCGGAAGCGGCUGGAGCUCCCGGCAGGCAGCGCGAGGAGGCUGAGGUCUGGUGGCCCAUCUGUCGCUGAGUGGGGGCAGGGGCAGGCUGUACUCAGCUCGGGCAGGGCUGUGGGCCGUGCCCUUCCGCAGCGACGAUCCAUCCCAGCCUACUGACUUGUACUCAAGAUCCUCUGGUCUAAGCUGCUGGAACCUGUCCAGCAUCAUGGUGUCCAUCUUUCAAUCUGUAAUAAGUCCAUACCUCCCAGGAGACGUCCAGCCCAGCCCAGAGACAGCACAGCAUCUGCGUGCAGCUAGCCUGAACCAGCUCAGCAAGCCCAGGACUCUGGGUGCUCACACUGUGAGAACGCCAACGUUUCCCAGCCAGGGGAAUGAGCAGCUUCUUUGUUCAUGGUGUCCAUUAAAAACAGACACAGUGUCAGAAAUCACUAAAAGCUGUUGUCCGGAAAAGUCUUUGAUGAGCCCAAUAUGUUGAUUCAACUCUGUAAACAAGGAGGACUAAAGCAGGAAGAUCCCUAAGAUUCAAGAUUAGCUAUUAUUUAAUCUGGGAUCAAUGUCUGUAACCCCCUGUGUUGGAAUUAUAGAUGUACCACAAUGCUGACAUGCUUUGGUUUUCAGAGGCAUUGGCCUACCAGAACAAGCUUCAACAGGGAAAUAAGAAAGUGUUAGCAACCACCCCUGUUGUGCUAAAAGUGAGCAACCUGAAGACUGUUGUCUUGGUUGGUGCCACCUAGUAUAAAGCUAGGCAAGUAGAUGCAAGUAGUAAGUGUGAAGCGAUGCUACUGUCCUUCAUAAGCAUGUAGGACUUUUGAGGUACAGAGCAAUAACUCAUUUACGUGUGUGUGUGUGUGUGUGUGUGUGUGUGUGUGUGUGUGUGCGCAUGCGCGAGUGCACGUGUGAGUGCGAGAGCGCACGUGUGAGUGAGACAGCACACACAUGGAGAUCACAGCACAACUUUAGAAUUAUUCUCCCCUUUCCUGUUGUUGAGGCAAGGUCUUGGUCUUGCAAUGCCGUGUCCUCCAGACUAGCUGACUGGAAAGCUUCUGUGCCAUUCUUCUGUGAUGAAUGUGAUGUAGGAACACUGGGAUUACAGAAUCAUAUCACCACAUCAAGCUCUGUUGUUGUUGUUGUUGUUGUUGUUGUUGUUUGUGUGAGUCUGAGUGCUUAUAUGUCUGUGCACAAAGAGGCCAGAUGAGGGCACUGGAUCCCCUACAACACCUACAGAUGUUGUGAGCCACCAAGUAGGUAUGGGAAUUGAACCCCAGUACUCUAGAAGAACAACCAUUGCUCUUGACCACUGAGCCAUCUCUCCAGUUCCAUAUCCAGCUUUUUUCAUUUGGUGUAGUGGUUUGAAUAGGGAUGGCCCCAUAAGCUUACAUGUUUGAAUGCUUGGUCAUUAGGGAGUGGCACUAUUUGACAGUGCUUAGGUGGUUCGGCCUUGUUGGAGAACGUAUGUCACUGGGGAUGGGCUUUGAGGUUUCAAAAGCUCAAGCCAGGCCCAGUGUCAUACUCUACCUGGUACCUGUGGGUCCAGAUGUAGAACUCUCAGGUAUUCUCCAGCGCCAUGUCUGCCUGCAUGCUGCCAUGCUCCUGCCAGGAUGGUAAUGGACAGAUCCUCUGAACUGUAAGCCAGCCCCAACUAAAUGCUUUUCUUUAUAAGAGCUGUCAUGACCAUGUGUCUCUUCACAACAAUAGAACAUUGACUAAAAUAUCUUGUUUUGGGGGAUCAAACUCAGGGCAUUAGACUUGUAUGGCAAGUACCUUUAUACACCGAGCCAUCUCUCUGGUUGAAGAGCCAGUUUUUCCAAAGACUCACUGCUGUUUGCUAGCAUGUGUGUAAUGGCCUGUUCCCUAGCAAAGCUAAGCUGCUUCAAGGCUUGAACUGCACUACAACAGAGAAUUUCUAUUUUCCUCUGUAAAUUUCACCAGCUGUCAUUGCUAGCAAUUCUUUUACUCUCCCCCACCCAAUUUGAUGCUAGAACAUUGAGCCUAGGAUCUUGCACAUGCUAGGCACACACUCUACCAGUGAGCCAUGCACCUCUAGUCCAUUUUUUUUUUUUUGGUCUUUUUUAUUCUCCAUAAAAUACCAUUGUAUUUCAAAACUAAGUCAGGGUUUCCAAACGUAUUCUUUUAAUUCAACUAUAUGGUAAAUUGUUUUGGUUUGGUUUUGAGCAAAAAGAAGUUAAGUGGAUAAACUCCAGUGCAAUAUGAUCUAGUUAAGUGCAUUGCUCCCAAGUCAGAUCUGGAAGUCCCUGACAUGGACUUCUUGAGCACUAGGUAGUAAGUCCACUGGAGUUCUAAAGUAGUUUUGCCUGUAGUAUGGCUGGUGCACUUCAAAAUGCAAAGUGAAAAAGGUUGAAAACUUUCAUAUUAGCAAAAAGACAUGUUUUGUGAACACUUGGAGCCCAUAUAAAAGUAGGCUGCAUCCUGGCUUCCCAAGUCUUUACCAAAGGGUCUUAUUGGUUUUCCUAAGGAAAAUUGUUUGGGGCAGAAUUGAGACUGUUAGAAAUAAAGGACAACACAGAGAACCACAAAUGCUCAUACUUUGCCUGGAAUCUCAAGGUUGCCAUUUUUUUUUUUUAUAGCCCUUGAUACUUUGUUUCAUGUUUUACAAUCAGAAACAAACCUACUAUUUUGCCUUUUUGAUCCCAAAACAAGUUCAAACUCAGUGAAGAGGAAGAUGACCAUCAGUCCUCCUGCCCUACCUCCCAAUUGCUGGUAUUACAGGCCUACAGCAUCUCCCAUCAAGCAAUGUUGGACAGGUAUUCUAUCCACUAAAUUGCAUACAUCCUGACAACUGUUUGCAUUGUUCUGCAACCUUCCCUGUUAUCCCACAUCAGGACUUUCAGGUCUAUCUUUGCUGAAAGGUGUCUCACCAUAUUAAUACCUCAUAGCCCUUCUCCAAGCACACUGGCAAGUGCCCUUCUGCUUGCUGUCUGUACAAAUGACUCUUGUAGGAAUCUCCUGAAAGGGAAGUCAGACAGGACUGAUCUUUACUGACUGGCUUUACCUUCACCAAGCAUGAGGUCCUUCUGAUCAUCUGCAAGUCAGAUGUGUCAGCAUUUUCUUUUGAAAGAGAUUUCCAGGGCUGGAGAGAUGGCUCAGUCAUUAAGAGCACUGACUGCGGGGUUGGGGAUUUAGCUCAGUGGUAGAGCGCUUGCCUAGCAACCGCAAGGUCCUGGGUUCAGUCCCCAGCUCCGAAAAAAAGAAAAGCAAAGAAAAGAAAAAAGGAAAGAAGAGAAGAGAAAAGAAGAAAAAAAAGAGCACUGACUGCUCUUCCAGAGGUCCUGAGUUCAAAUCCCAGCAACCACAUGGUGGCUCACAACCAUCUGUAAUGGGAUCCGAUGCCCUCUUCUGGUGUGUCUGAAGACAGCUACAGUGUAUUCAUAUAAAUAAUAAAUAUAUCUUUUUUAAAAAAA
Molecule: long non-coding RNA, 3436 nt
Organism: Rattus norvegicus (Norway rat)
Lineage: Eukaryota; Metazoa; Chordata; Mammalia; Rodentia; Muridae
Source: RefSeq, a predicted model, not a curated record